AUUGAACGCUGGCGGCAGGCCUAACACAUGCAAGUCGAACGGUAACAGGAAUUAGGUUGUUGAGUUGCUGACGAGUGGGGUGCGGGUUAGUAAGGACCGGGAAACGUAGUGGGGGAGGGGUAUAAGAACUGGAAACGGUAGCUAAAACCGCAUAACGUCGGAAAACGAGGGAGGGGGGCCUUCGGCGCUCUUGCAAUCGGAUGUGCCCAGUUGGGAUUAGCUAGUUGGUGGGGCAAAGGCUGACCUAGGCGACUAUCAGUAGUUGGUCGGAGAGGAAGACCAGCCACACUGGAACUGAGACACGGCCCACACUCCUACGGGAGGCAGCAGUGGGGAAUUUUGCACAAUGGGCGAAAGCCUGAUCCAGCAAUGCCGCGUGUGUGAUGAAGGCCUUCGGGUUGUAAAGCACUUUUGGCGGGAACGAAGAGGACUGUGCCAAUACCUCGGUUCGUUGACGUUACCCGCAGAAGAAGCACCGGCUAACUACGUG
RNAcentral lists this ribosomal RNA (490 nucleotides) under uncultured bacterium. RNAcentral describes it as "partial 16S ribosomal RNA". It matches the Rfam family "Bacterial small subunit ribosomal RNA", at positions 29 to 507 of the family's 1533-position model. The record is from RNAcentral.